Long non-coding RNA from Pan paniscus (pygmy chimpanzee), 2058 nucleotides. Lineage: Eukaryota; Metazoa; Chordata; Mammalia; Primates; Hominidae. The record is from Ensembl.
CUUUUGGCUACUCCCUGAUCACAUUCAGGGUGCAAAAAUGCUAGGAGUGAACAGUUAACCAAUCCCCAUCCUGCACCAGCCCAUAUGACAGAAACUAUUUGGAAUUCUUUUACAGGAUGCGCUAGCUAAUGCAGAUAAGCUCUGUGGCAUCAAUUCACCCUCCAGAAGAAACCCAAAUAGCAACACAGGAUGAAGGUCAAGGAUUAACUGAUGCUAAUGGAAAUGUUCCCAGUGACCGUCCAGAUAAAAUAUUGUAUCUCAGCUGAUGAGGCCGGCACAUGAUGACAACACUACAAGCACCAAGAAAAUUGAUGCGAUGGCCUGUCUUAAGUUGGCUUCCUCUAUUGGUCUUUUAUCUGACAAGACACCUUUGGCAAAGUCUCAUCAAUAUGCUACUUUUCAUCUGCCUGACACUGAAAUCAAUGGACUGCAGAAGAAGCCUCUCGAUCAGCAUUGUCAGAAAUGAUCACCAUGCUGGACGGAGCAUGCUACCUGAUUUCUCCUGACUGAACUCCCACAAAAGCAUGGCUGCAAAUCCCAGAGAAAGAAGAAAGAGAACUUACAUAAAGGAGGCUUUCUGGAGAACUCGCUGUAAGAGGGUCAAUGCGGAAAUAUGGAAUGUGCUUAGGAGUCCACUGAAGCAGCCCAGGUAAGAGACAACUGACUUACAGUGGUUGGGGAGUGAGAAGUAGUCAGAUUCAGGAUAUACUCAUAGCCUCACACAUCAAUAUCCUUAGACAGGGAAAAAGAGAAUAUCCCUCCAGUGUCCCUUUUAAACAGCAAUCAUAUCACCCACCUGCUCAGAACUCUCCAAACACUUCCCACAUUAUGAGAAAAUUCAAGAUUCUAAUCAUGGCUAGACGGUCCUUCUGAUCCAAUGUACCACCUCUGAGAUCUCAUUUCUUGCCAAUUUCCUUGGUCACUCCUUUCCAGCCAUGUUUACUUCCUUGCUGUUUCCCAAACACAUCAAACAUGUCCCUACCCUUGGGGCUUUGAACUUGUCUGGAAGCUCUCUUCUCCAGAAGUUCCCACAGUGUACUCCCCUCCUUCAUUUAGGUCUUACCUUGUAGGCCAAAGAAGAAUUCUCUGAUAACUAUUUAUAAAGUAACAGCUCCAGCCAGGCUCGAUGGCUCACACCUCGAAUCCCAGCACAUUGGGAGGCCAAGGCAGGAGGAUCACUUGAACCCAGAAGCUCAAGACCAGUCUGGGCAACAUGGAGAAACUUCAUCUCUACAAAAAAAUACAAAAGUUAGCCAGGCAUGGUGGCAUGCUCCUGUGGUCCCAGCCAAUUGGGAGGCUAGGGUGGGAGGAUCACUUGGGCCCAGGAGUUCAAGGCUGCAGUGAGCUGUGAUCACACCACUGCACUCCAGCCUGGGUGAUAGAGUGAGACUCUGCCUCCAAAAAAAGAAAAGAAAAAAAAAAAGGAACACCUCCUUCAACACUAUUUUACCUUGCACAGCAAUAUUGUUCUUCACAGCACUUUUCACUACUUGAAAUAUAUGUAUCACCCCCUCCCCUUUUGUGAGCCUCUGUUUUCUUUAAAGUGUAACUUGAUGAAGGCAGAUAAUUUGUUUCUUAUCUAAUAACAGAGCAGGAGAUCUAUCUGGAAACUUAUAGCCAGCUUAUUCCACUGGGUCCACUCAGUCCCACUGUAUUUUCAGUACCUACAACCUUAGCACAUAAUAUUCACUCAGUGAACAAUUGUGAAAUAAAUGAAUAAAAGUAAUGCCUAGAGCUGCUACAGCCAUCCCGUGACCAUAAAGAAAUUUCUUGACAAGUGGUGGAAGGUGCAGCACAAAGACUAAAAGAACCUGGAUCCACGGGGAAGCCCCUAAGCUGUGGAAUCCAUCAUUUCAGUAAGAGCCCUAGCUUUUAGUUGUCAUAUGAGACAAUAAGUUCAGCCACUUUAAUUUGGAAUUGCUGCUUACUCCACAACUAGGACUGCCCUAACUGCUGCGUAAUUUUAAUCUUCUAGAAAAAUAUCACAUUUCAAUUUCUAGAAUAUGUCAUCCAAGAGCAUUUUCCUUUCCCAUUUCUCAUACAAUCUGCAUAAAUUCA